CCUGCCCCAAGAAGCAUUGCAAGUGUGAUUGUUGUGUCACAUGUGCAUCAGUGGGUGGCAGAGGGGGGAGAGGUUAUGUCUACUUAGUGUUCUAACCUACAUGCAUCUCAAUGAUUAAUAGUUUAACAUC
This is a small nucleolar RNA of Mastomys coucha (southern multimammate mouse), 130 nucleotides long. RefSeq annotates it as small nucleolar RNA SNORA17. NCBI's taxonomy places the organism in Eukaryota, Metazoa, Chordata, Mammalia, Rodentia, Muridae. The transcript has a single exon. The record is from RefSeq and is a predicted model, not a curated record.